RNAcentral lists this long non-coding RNA (279 nucleotides) under Dasypus novemcinctus (nine-banded armadillo). RNAcentral describes it as "lncRNA (ENSDNOG00000052743.1)". Lineage: Eukaryota; Metazoa; Chordata; Mammalia; Cingulata; Dasypodidae. The record is from RNAcentral.
CCUGCCAAGUUCUACCGCUAGCAGCAGCUUUGGAUCGGAUGUUGCUUCCACCCAGCCCCAGCCUGCUGAUCCCAGCUAUCAUGACUCGCAGCUUCUUAAGGAUUUGCAAGAACAGACCUGUGGUUUGGUACUUCCGAGGCCUGGAGAUAACCACAGUCCAUUCUGAAGACAGGAAAGAGGGCACUUCACCUGAGCAGAGGGCACUCCCUAAAGCUGAAGGGAAUGAAGGCAUGAUUAAUGGAGGAGCAUGACCACCAGCGUCAGCCUUUUGGGUUUGGG